UACGUAGGGUGCAAGCGUUAAUCGGAAUUACUGGGCGUAAAGCGUGCGCAGGCGGCUUUGCAAGACAAAUGUGAAAUCCCCGGGCUUAACCUGGGAACUGCAUUUGUGACUGCAUGGCUGGAGUGCGGCAGAGGGGGAUGGAAUUCCGCGUGUAGCAGUGAAAUGCGUAGAUAUCGGGAGGAACACCAGUGGCGAAGGCGGCGACCUGGGCCAAUAUUGACGCUGAGAAGCGAAAGCAUGGGGAGCGAACAGG
This 253-nucleotide ribosomal RNA is filed under the name uncultured bacterium. RNAcentral's name for it is "partial 16S ribosomal RNA". It matches the Rfam family "Bacterial small subunit ribosomal RNA", at positions 524 to 776 of the family's 1533-position model. The record is from RNAcentral.